AUUUCAUCGUCCAAUUUUUCGCCCCAUGUUGCAACCGUCUCAGGUUCUUCUCCAUUUUCAAACUUCGACUGUUCGACACUCCUUCGCAACGUAUCAACCUCGUCUACCACCGUGUUCAACGCUUUUUAAAAGUUGCCGUUCCAAUGCCACUAUAUUCGCAGAUGCCGUAACUGCCCCAGUUUUAUCCCUUGUAAAUACGAGAAGCU
Molecule: non-coding RNA, 206 nt
Organism: Paramuricea clavata
Lineage: Eukaryota; Metazoa; Cnidaria; Anthozoa; Malacalcyonacea; Plexauridae
Source: the annotation of a GenBank genome assembly